This is a long non-coding RNA of Cyprinus carpio (common carp), 875 nucleotides long. NCBI's taxonomy places the organism in Eukaryota, Metazoa, Chordata, Actinopteri, Cypriniformes, Cyprinidae. The record is from Ensembl.
AUAAAACCGUUUUAGCGCUCUGUUUACGGUUGCCAAGCACCAAGGUUCGUAUAGAAAACGGAAGCGUUGGCCAUUUGCUGAAAGUUAUUCGGUGAUCACACUAGCAAACAUUAGCAAUAAAUAAAUAAAUAAAUAGAAUUUUGAUAACACUUUAGUAAAUAUGGCAAACCCUAAAGAAAAAGACCCUGUGGACAUAGUUCACCAGAAUGCUAUUCAUGUCGAGACAAUACUAAAGGAGCUGAGAUACCACUGAGUUUAACAUUAACCCCUUCAAGAAACGUGAGAGCAGAGCUUCACUUGUAGUACAGUAUCUAUGUCUCUGUAUUUGGCUAAAUAUGUAAAAGAGCCUCUUUGAGUUCACAUUCUGACUGACAAGCCAAUGUCCAACAUCACCUACAGAAAAGAAGAGGACCCUGCUUUCAUCCAAGCCAUACACAGGGCCUGUCUGGAGCCCACAAAAAAGUACUCUCACCCUCAGACUGAAGCUAUAGGAGCGACAGGAUGGUUAUCCAGUCCUUUACUCCUGGCCGACCAAGGAUCCAGAUCCUUGCCAAUGGGCCGCAUCCAUGCCCACAAGACAAUUGCCCCUACGGGCUAUACGCCGAGGACCUCUUUUCGAUGCAGUCCAGGGGCUAGGGCUUGAGGAGAGCAUCCUCAUUCACCUGUUUUUAGUAGGCCUGGACGUGCCCAUCAUUUGGGUGGAGCUGGGGGAGCUAGAUGCGUGGUCCUAUUGGGAGAUGGUCGACCACAUCAUCAUUUAAAGGAGAUGAAACUGCUGGAGGGUGCCCCCCUCCCAGUCUGGGCUGUUGUACCAGAACCACCUCAGGUCAUGCACAACAACAACAACAACAACUUCCAAGUUGUUGGGGUCAUUG